Molecule: long non-coding RNA, 3503 nt
Filed under: Citrus maxima (pomelo)
Lineage: Eukaryota; Viridiplantae; Streptophyta; Magnoliopsida; Sapindales; Rutaceae
Description: long non-coding RNA (CMAX_LNC002855)
Rfam family: U2 spliceosomal RNA (bases 207-401)
Source: RNAcentral
CUUCAGAUGUUUCUUGUGGGUUUCUCCGUGGGCUGCUUUACAACCAAAUGGGCCGACCUUUUUUCAAAAAGAGUCAUUGCAUCAACACGCAGCAGCAAGAAUGCGUUAACUAACUCAUUAAAAUUCUUUGUCCCACAUCGAGUGAUCAAAAGAAAUAAAUAUGCCUGGUACGGGUUUAAAAGCAGAGCUGCAACAAGAUACUAAUCAUACCUUUCUCGGCCUUUUGGCUAAGAUCAAGUGUAGUAUCUGUUCUUAUCAGUUUAAUAUCUGAUAUGUGGAUCAUCGAUCCACACGAUAUUAAAUUAAUAUUUAAAGGGGAGGGCUCAAUGCAGUAGCUUGCUACUGCGAGCCCUGAGCGUCGCCCAUGCGUUGCACUACAGCACGGGCCUGGCGCACCCCCCACCAACUCUUAUGUUUCAAAUUUUGGAGGUUUGUCAGGAUUUGGAUUGAUUCUUAUUUGUCUUAAUUGUCUGUUAAAUAAAUUGUCGAUUGUUAAAUUAAUUUCUUUUUUAGUCUUUGCUAUGAACGCGCAUCGAUAAUUUUAUCACCGAAGGAAGAACAGCCAGAACCUAGACAAUCAUACUCGAAGGUUUAUAUAUGUCAUGAGCAUGUUUGAAAACUCAAGAAAACUCAAAGAAGUGGAAUCUUGUAUCAAAUGAUAUUGAGUUUUUUAAUUUGAGGCUGUUCAGGGAAUCAUUUGAAAGACCCAAGUCACCAAAAUUUAUUCACUAUCCCCCAUCAUCAUUUCAAUAUUCUGUGACUAGAACACUGGUUUUCGGUCUCGACCUCCUUGCAAGUGUAGAGAUGAGUCUUAAAAUAUUUCUGAUAGUCUAAUAUUUCAGUUCGCAUCUCAACCUUAGCAUGGUGGUGUAUCAUAAACAAUUAAUAUCUGCAGAAAAGGACGAAAGGGUAGUCACGUACAACUUCUAUGCACAUCCCAAUGUAAACCCACAAGCUGGAUUUUUAUUUAUUUAUUUAUUCCUUUUUUCUUUUUCUUUUUUUUGGGUGCUUUGAUGAUGGUAGUUCUUUUUCCAUUUAUCAAUCCAAUUAACUGCGUUUCUCUCAUAUUUCCAUUUUCUUCCAAAGCUUUUUUAGAUUAUUCAGCCAGGCUGAAUAAAUUAUAUAAACAUAAGGUCAUAGGCCGUACCUGAAAUCACCAUCUUCAGAAACAAAUAAAUUAAUAAGGAUAUGAAUAUAUGUGCAAUAACGCAUCAAAAACUCUUAACUCAACACUGAAUCCUAAUAUAAAGAAAACAAUAAAUCUUUUAUCUUUCCUUAUUAAAGAUAACAAUCCUGGUUAUAUAUUAACCGCGCAACAAAAACUUCUAAAGCUCUCUGUAUCCUGUAGCGUUUAGUCUAUAUUUCUUCAGUUGAAGAUCAGAAUGGAGGAAAAGCCAGAGCAGCCGAAGCCACCAUCAUCAUCAUCAAAUUGGUCUGACAUCUGUUUGUUCUUCGUGGCGUAGGAUUCUAAUGGAUUAUAUCCCAACAUCCGAAGCAAUUACUUGGCUCAUUUUCCCUUCAAACCUCCACCCAGAUGGUGCUUCUGAUGGCUGCCGCUUCUAUAGUCUCGACGAGAGAAAGUUUUACUUUCAGAAAAACAGUGUGUUCAAGGACUUUGGGAAGAGGCAUUUGUAUUGGUUCAUCUCACGGAUGGCUCGUAGUCUUAGAUGAAACAGCCAAUCCUUUUCUUUUGAAUCCCUUCUCUUGUAUCCAGAUUCUCCUUCCUCCCCUGGAAACUCUUCCGGAUGUUGUGUCCUCUUCCGAAUCGGGUUAGAAAAGAUUGCCAAGUAACCAUUGCCCUGAGUGACCGAUUUGUUAUUAUUUUUGUCAGCAUUAUGUCUAAAGCUGAUUGGUUUGUCAAAGAUACAGAGCUGACAGAGAGAAGCAUUAAGGCUAAGGGAAGAUCAUCAUAAAAGAGGUCAAUAUGCACUUGCUGUUGCUAAAGAGUUCAUUUGGCUCGCAAGGAAAGCAAAGGAGCAACAACAAUUUAUUUGUUUAGUAUUUUUCUUGAUAGAACCCAGGGGUAUCACAGUUCUGUUAGGUUUUUGGGUAAUGAGACGAGGAAUGAUUUUCAUUAUAUUUGCUUCACUACAACUAGUAGAAGAAGGGAUUACCGAGCAAUCUCACAACAGGCUAGCGAUGUUCUCUUCAUUAACUACAAGGCUGGUUGUUUACUCUGCAAGGCAAGCUACGCCCAUGGCUUUGCGUUAGGCUUCUCUUCAGAUGUUUCUUGUGGGUUUCUCCGUGGGCUGCUUUACAACCAAAUGGGCCGACCUUUUUUUCCAAAAAGAGUUAGAACUAUUGAUACCCUCCAACCACCGCUUACCCACUAAAUAAUUGAAAUAAAUAGUACUUUUUUUUCAACCACCUUAAUUUCUUAAAUAAAUUUGAUGUUGUCUUCUUCCAAAAUAAAAUCCCUCAUUUUCUUGCAUCAGCACGCAGUAGCAAGAAUGCAAGAAUGUCCUUUCAUCUUGAUGUAUUUUAUUAACUAACUCAUUAAAGUUCUUUGUCCCACAUCGAGUGAUCAAAAGAAACAAAUAUGCCUGGUCUGGGUUUAAAAGCAGAGCUGCAACACGAAGCUAGGCAUACCUUUCUCGGCCUUUUGGCUAAGAUCAAGUGUAGUAUCUGUUCUUAUCAGUUUAAUAUCUGAUAUGUGGAUCAUCGAUCCACACGAUAUUAAAUUAAUUUUUUAAGGGGAGGGCUCAUUGCGGUAGCUUGCUACUGCGAGCCCUGAGCGUCGCCCAUGCGUUGCACUACAGCACGAGCCUGGCGCACCCCGCACCAACUCUUAUGUUUCAAAUUUAGGACAGGACAACGAAAUUCAGAAUUUGGAUGAUGGAUUUUGAGUUCAAACAAUGUAGAAAAACUGACGUUUAAUCCGUAACCAUGACUGCCGAGAUCGUGUUUACUUUCAGGAUGGAAAUCACUGACUGUCAGUCUCCACCAAAGAUUCUUUCAGAAUAAGAAACAGUUUAAUCUACUUUACGGAUGACGAUUCUGGGGAAUCAAUUUACAACAAUCCCUCUUUUGGUGGUCAUGAUAAGGGUUGUCUCCCGGGGCACCAAUAUUUUGAUGAUCAUCAUCAUAGAUUGAAGAUUGAACCACUUCCCUUCUGGGUCGUUCCUAAUCCGUGGUAGCUAGACUUCUGAGUUUUGCAUUCAGCGUUGAGCUGGAACUUUGUGUUCAACCGUACGAUAAUCUUUGUGCGACUUCAAACACAAUUAGUGAUCAAAUGAACACAAUUGGUUUCAUAACACCUUUCAAAUAAAAAGCGAUUGAUGUGUUAUUUUUUGGGUCACUUGAGUAGAGUUCUUGCGAAGAAUUAUUUUUAACUAAAUGAGGAAAAGACAAUCUCUAGAUGCGUCAAUCGUAUACAAUAUACACACUUUUUAGCUUAUAAUAAAGAAAUUGUGCAUAGAGUUUUAAGGCGUGAAACCUUUGACUACUUAGUCUUAAUGGCUGCAUAAUUGACUAAGCACAUUAUAUACCCCGUCCAUUUUUUU